This is a non-coding RNA of Tetranychus urticae (two-spotted spider mite), 3374 nucleotides long. NCBI's taxonomy places the organism in Eukaryota, Metazoa, Arthropoda, Arachnida, Trombidiformes, Tetranychidae. The record is from RefSeq and is a predicted model, not a curated record.
AACAAAUUCAAUCAGUGAAUCUAUUCUACUUUUUGUUCGAGCAAAAAUUGUAAUCAAAGAUGGACCCAGCAGAUUAUAAGAUCGGCAGCAAACAAACUAAUCAAAGAGUUUGGAUUAACAAAAUGGAUUAACAUGAAUUACUUAAUAUUGCUGGUGAUGAAAAGUUUAAACUACUACCAGGUUUGGAUCGGAGAUUAGCCUUGGCUAACAAAGAGUGUGAAGCAUCGCCCAAUGAACCGCUACUCGAUCCACCAUCGGCAUCACCAAUUUCAUGAUCACUAAGUCCAGUGUCACUUUUAUACCCACUUGUAUGAAUAUCUGGUUUCCGAGCUUCAGGUAAAUUUGCUCCAAAUCAAAAGUAAUCACAAUUUUUGUUGGAUGAUAAAUGAGCAAUCAAUUUGAAAGGGAAACGAUAACCUGAUUGCAGUAAUUAAAGGAUGAAAUUUAAAAACCAGAAAUGCGUUGGAAAGUGAAAAAUGAAAAUGGUUGCUUACUUCGGCAAGGAGACUUUGAUUUAAUCCGAUUAGCCGUGUUAAUUGCGUAGUUAGCAUUUAAUCGUUGACUUCGUUUCAUCAACUGCUGAAUGUUUAUUUGAUCAGGAAAGCGAACAUAAUAUUCAGCUGAUCGACCUUUCUGUUGGUACAAUAAAACCAGUGAAAGGGGUUAAAUCAAUACUCAAAAGAUAAAUUUCUAAUAACAAAAAAUUCUCAUAAUUCUCCAUAGAAACUCACAUAAUCUGGUAAAUUUGGUGAAGCGCCAUGUUUUACUAAAAUAUUGUAAAUGGCUCGUUCAUCAUCUAAUCCUGCUGCAUAAUGAAGAGCAGUUCGACCAUCCUAAAUGAUCAAGAAAAUGUGGACAAAGAGGGUCAACAUUAGAUAACCAAAAUUGAAUGGGAGACAUUUUGAAGAAGACAAUUGAUUCAAACAAAAAAGCAAUGAAAUGAUGAAAAUGAUAAAUCGAUGAAACAAGUACGAAGUUCAUUAUGCAUACGCCUCAAUGAGAAAGAAAGAAAAGAAGGAGAAAUAAAAAUAAAACGAAAUAACAAAAGAAAGAGUAAAGAAGCUUUACCCUCUCUAUUGGCAAUGUCAUUAUCUUCAUUUAACUCUUUGUAAUUCAUCAUGUAAUUCCUGAUAUAAUCUUACAUGGUCACGAGCAUCCAAUGUUGCUGGAUAUUCACUUGACAGGAAAGAGGUAACCUCUAGUUGGCCAUACAAGACAGCUUUGUGUAAAGGAGUACAACCAAUUUGAUCACGAGCAAAGACAAUUCCCUUUCUAUCCAGAAGGCUUCUCAGAUCAUUUAGAUUACCCCGUUGAGCUGCUUUAUGAAGUUCAUUUAUUUGUUCCUGAGUAACACAAAUCAAUCAUGAAAAGAAGGAAAACAAGAAAAAGAAGAAGAAAAUGAAUAAAAAGACAAAAGAUUGAUAAACAAUCGAUCAAUCAAUUAAUGUAUAGACAAAGACAUUCAAAGAAACUUACAAUUAAUUGUGGAACAUUUUUCAAAAAUUCUUGGACAAGUGGAGCUGAUGAAGUUUCGCCAAUUAAUCUAUCACCAUAGCCUUGGAUUACAAUCUCUUCAAGUGUCGUUAUGUUUCCCUGUUUAAUCAACUCUCGUAUAUUACUUCGGUGCAUCAACGAUCCUGAUUAAAAAUUUAGCGACAAUUAGAGUAUUUCCAUGUCAUGUAGGAUAAAGAUAGAGCAAGAAUAAUAGAUUUAAAUGGUGAAAUCCAUGCUAACUGACGACAGAAUUGAAUUGUUGUUCUCGACAAUGGAGCAUGGAAGAGGCAAAGAAAUAACAAUCAAUCAAGAACAAAAAAUGGAUAUCAACAGUAAAAUAGUAAUGAGAUGAAAACAAUAGGAAAAUUGGGAAAGAAGGUCAAUUGUAACUUGAAAAAAAAAUUAUCACAAUCAUUAUGCAUUACUGUUUCAAUUGACGAUUUAAAAUUAUUCAUUUUCCCCAUUAUGUAUUAGUUAAUGGUUAAAAAUGGUUUUACGAUGCUCAUUGAUAGUUAAAUAAAACUGUUAUUCACAAUCAAAAUGAUAAUGAUUGUUUAAAAAGACAAACAAGAAGAGAUGAAAAAUAAGAUGAAUGGAUCUUUGACCAACUUUGAGGAUCAAUCAUACGACUUGCUGAUUUACGGCUUCGACGUUGACCCAAUGGACGAGUGACAAUUGCACUUUCCCUAAGAACCACCACAGAAACACCAUCUUGAUGAUUUAAAUAAUCUUCUGGCUUUUUACCAAACUGUUUGGAGGCAAAGAAAAAGGUCAAUCAGAAAGACGUCAUGUCAACAGGAGAAAAAUGAAAAUCUAGAAAAAUUAACAAUCAAUCAGAUGUUCGAUUGAUCUUGGGAAAAGAUUGAAAUGGGCAGAGAAAUUGUGGUCGCUCUAUAUUUGUCCAACACUGAUUGCAACCAUUGAUUAGGUAAAUUCAAUAUAAUCAAAGACUGAUGACACAAAUACAUAACAAUAUUUCAUCAAUAUCAAUGAAUAAUCUGACCUUGGUUAAAGGGUUUAUUUGAAGGAUUGGAGACACAAAGGUCCAUAGAUUGACACAAGGAGUUUUGAAUUUAUUCAGGCGUGUAACAUGGUAUAAAUCAUUAAAUGUGAAUAAUAAUUAUAUUGUAUUGAAUUAACCCCAACACAUGAAUAUUACUAUUAUUAGAAAAGUUAUGAAACUUAAUUGGAUCAAAAAUGGACCAGAAGGAGAUUUAAACACGGAAAUCAACUUUCUUUUUAAGUGAAAUGGACAGACAGGACAAGAAGGAGAAAAGGUUGGAAUCACGUUCAAAAAGUUAUAUUACAAGGAUAAUUGGUUGAAUGAAUUUGAUGAUGAAUAAAGUUGAUUAUCAAAAUUAACAGUUGAUAAUUAGUGAGAUAUUAACAUACCAUGUCCAAGGCUUUCUCAUCAGCACCAGCUUCAGCCAACAUGCGAUACAAGUCUGCGCUUUCGGGUAAAACAGCGGCGUAAUGUAAUGGAGUCCGUCCACGCUGUAAACAAUCAAGAUUGAUUGGUUAAAAGGAUUUUCACUUUAUCUCCCAACUGCCACCCACCUUGGUGAAGAUCUCUAUUGCUAUAACAAUCAAAACAAAUUUGGGUCAAUUGAAAUAAGUUACCAUGACACUGGACAAGAGACUGACCAAAGAGUAACAGAAAGGUUUGGGUGGCUUCAUUUUCAUGAUUACUGACAACCAAAUAUGAAACUUACAACCUUGAACAAUCAUUGAAUUGAUUAUUUGAAAUGAGAAAGCAAACGAUCAACAUUGAAGGAAAUAAUCGCAAUCAAUCAAAUUAUUAUUUACCAAUGAUGGAUGGAAUCAAAUAAUUAACAAAAGACUGUUCUAAUUGUUGGUUAACUGAUUAUUGAACUCACCAU